This 254-nucleotide ribosomal RNA is filed under the name uncultured bacterium. Its description in RNAcentral is "partial 16S ribosomal RNA". It matches the Rfam family "Bacterial small subunit ribosomal RNA", at positions 524 to 776 of the family's 1533-position model. The record is from RNAcentral.
UACGUAGGGGGCGAGCGUUGUCCGGAUUUAUUGGGCGUAAAGAGCUCGUAGGCGGUUCGAUAAGUCGGACGUGAAAUCUCCACGCUCAACGUGGAGGGGCCGUUCGAUACUGUCGUGACUCGAGUCCGGUAGGGGAGUGUGGAAUUCCCGGUGUAGCGGUGAAAUGCGCAGAUAUCAGGAGGAACACCCGUGGCGAAGGCGGGUUGCUGGGCUGACACUGACGCUGAUGCGCGAAAGCCAGGGGAGCGAACGGG